Rattus norvegicus (Norway rat) is the source of this 610-nucleotide long non-coding RNA. Lineage: Eukaryota; Metazoa; Chordata; Mammalia; Rodentia; Muridae. The record is from Ensembl.
GUCAGGGCCACCUGCAGCAAGUGAACGUCCUUGGGAAGGUCUUCUCGAAUGUGCCCCUGUCACCUCCCACGGGCCUAUGAAAACCCACGCUGUCAUAAGAACCAAGAAAUUCAAAUCGUGUCCCCUAAGGACACGGGGAACUGCCGGAGCCUUGAAUUAUUCGUAUCUAGCAAUCCAGCAUAUGUGCUUUCUGUCAUCCCGAUACCCUGGAGGGGUGCACCAGACCCAGCAGCCGGGCUGGCACAGAACCCGGUGCUCCAGAAGCCCAAACAAGCAUUUAGUCGUUGGAGCAACAGUGGUCUCACAGGUUUCCUGGAGAUGCUCGCCCACUCCACCCCCAAGACAGAGGCUGACCUGGAAUUCAUCAUGCCCAGCUACUAGAGAUCUUCAGCCACUGAGCACAUCCAGGUGAACAAAGCCCCUACUGUGCGCACUGUCCUUACAGAGCUUGUGGCCACAGUCCUCCUACAUGUGGACUUUACUGCUUCACUGAGAUGAUCUUCCCUGGAAAGGGACAAGCUACUCCUGAACUAGAAGAGGAGAAAAAGGUUUUGAGUUUGGGGCCUUCCAAGGUCUAUGGAUAGGGGACUUUCUAUAAUCUGUGGACCAG